GGCACACACUGGCUUAUGAUAAGGGCUGGCGUGUCAGAACUGACUUUAAGCAGUAUCAGGUUUUGAAGCAGAAUCCGUUCUGGUGGACACACCAGCGGCAUGAUGGGAAGCUCUGGAACCUGAACAACUACCGUACAGACAUGAUCCAGGCCCUGGGCGGUGUGGAAGGCAUUCUGGAACACACACUCUUUAAGGGCACUUACUUCCCUACCUGGGAGGGGCUUUUCUGGGAGAAGGCCAGUGGCUUUGAGGAAUCUAUGAAGUGGAAGAAGCUAACUAAUGCUCAGCGAUCAGGAUUGAACCAGAUUCCCAAUCGUAGAUUCACCCUCUGGUGGUCCCCGACCAUCAAUCGAGCCAACGUAUAUGUAGGCUUUCAGGUGCAGCUAGACCUGACGGGUAUCUUCAUGCACGGCAAGAUCCCCACGCUGAAGAUCUCUCUCAUCCAGAUCUUCCGAGCUCACUUGUGGCAGAAGAUCCAUGAGAGCAUCGUUAUGGACCUAUGUCAGGUGUUUGACCAGGAACUCGAUGCACUGGAAAUUGAGACGGUACAAAAGGAGACAAUCCAUCCCCGAAAGUCAUAUAAGAUGAACUCUUCCUGUGCAGAUAUCCUGCUCUUUGCCUCCUAUAAGUGGAAUGUCUCCCGGCCCUCAUUGCUGGCUGACUCCAAGUAAGUGCCUCAGGACCCAGCCCUAGGCAGCCAGGACACUUUCGUUUUCCUGUUCUUCUAGCCCUACAACUUUAGGAAUUGUCGCUGUCUGCCUUUGUUUCAAACUUGGACUGGAGCCUGUCAACACCCUUAGUCAGAUCUGCUGAUUCUCUGGGGUCUUGCUGAUCUGGAACAAGAUGGUGUAGUGGGUGGGAUGGUUUUGGGAUUUAAGUGGUUCUGGUUCUGGGGACAUUGGUUAUGCCCAUGGUUUCCUAGAAGCUUGAACCCUCUUCAUCCUCAGGGAUGUGAUGGACAGCACCACCACCCAGAAAUACUGGAUUGACAUCCAGUUGCGCUGGGGGGACUAUGAUUCCCACGACAUUGAG
Molecule: small RNA, 1032 nt
Filed under: Pongo abelii (Sumatran orangutan)
Lineage: Eukaryota; Metazoa; Chordata; Mammalia; Primates; Hominidae
Description: retained intron
Source: RNAcentral